AUUGAACGCUGGCGGAAUGCUUUACACAUGCAAGUCGAACGGCAGCACGGACUUCGGUCUGGUGGCGAGUGGCGAACGGGUGAGUAACAUAUCGGAACGUAUCCAAUAAUGGGGGAUAACUAAUCGAAAGGUUGGCUAAUACCGCAUACGCCCUACGGGGGAAAGCUAGGGAUCUUCGGACCUGGCGUUAAUGGAGCGGCCGAUAUCUGAUUAGCUAGUUGGUGGGGUAAAGGCCCACCAAGGCGACGAUCAGUAGCUGGUCUGAGAGGACGACCAGCCACACUGGAACUGAGACACGGUCCAGACUCCUACGGGAGGCAGCAGUGGGGAAUUUUGGACAAUGGGCGCAAGCCUGAUCCAGCCAUUCCGCGUGAGUGAAGAAGGCCUUCGGGUUGUAAAGCUCUUUCGCAAGGGAAGAAAACUUAUCCUCUAACAUAGGAUGAGGUUGACGG
RNAcentral lists this ribosomal RNA (452 nucleotides) under uncultured bacterium. RNAcentral's name for it is "bacterial SSU rRNA". It matches the Rfam family "Bacterial small subunit ribosomal RNA", at positions 30 to 475 of the family's 1533-position model. The record is from RNAcentral.